Molecule: ribosomal RNA, 233 nt
Filed under: uncultured bacterium
Lineage: Bacteria
Description: partial 16S ribosomal RNA
Rfam family: Bacterial small subunit ribosomal RNA
Source: RNAcentral
UCCACGCCCUAAACGAUGAGAACUAGCUGUUGGUUACGUAAAUGUAGUCAGUAGCGAAGCUAACGCGUUAAGUUCUCCGCCUGGGGAGUACGACCGGCAAGGUUGAAACUCAAAAGGAAUUGACGGGGGCCCGCACAAGCGGUGGAGCAUGUGGUUUAAUUCGAUGCAACGCGAAGAACCUUACCAUCCCUUGACAUCCUCAGAAUUUGUCGUAAUGACUUAGUGCCUUCGGG